This 254-nucleotide ribosomal RNA is filed under the name uncultured bacterium. RNAcentral describes it as "partial 16S ribosomal RNA". It matches the Rfam family "Bacterial small subunit ribosomal RNA", at positions 524 to 776 of the family's 1533-position model. The record is from RNAcentral.
UACGUAGGGUGCAAGCGUUGUCCGGAUUUACUGGGCGUAAAGGGCGCGUAGGCGGCCAGCGCAAGUCAGUUGUGAAAUCUCCGGGCUUAACUCGGAAAGGUCAACUGAUACUGCGCGGCUAGAGUGCGGAAGGGGCAACUGGAAUUCUCGGUGUAGCGGUGAAAUGCGUAGAUAUCGAGAGGAACACCUGCGGCGAAGGCGGGUUGCUGGGCCGACACUGACGCUGAGGCGCGAAAGCCAGGGGAGCGAACGGG